Molecule: ribosomal RNA, 744 nt
Filed under: uncultured Gammaproteobacteria bacterium
Lineage: Bacteria; Pseudomonadati; Pseudomonadota; Gammaproteobacteria
Description: bacterial SSU rRNA
Rfam family: Bacterial small subunit ribosomal RNA
Source: RNAcentral
GGUAUGCUUAACACAUGCAAGUCGAACGGAAACGAAACUAGCUUGCUAGUAGGCGUCGAGUGGCGGACGGGUGAGUAACGCGUAGGAAUCUGCCUGAUAGUGGGGGAUAGCCCGAAGAAAUUCGGAUUAAUACCGCAUAAUCUAUUCGUAGUAAAGUGAGGGACUUUCGAGCCUCACGCUAUCAGAUGAGCCUGCGUAAGAUUAGCUUGUUGGUAGGGUAAAAGCUUACCAAGGCAACGAUCUUUAGCUGGUCUGAGAGGAUGAUCAGCCACAUCGGGACUGAGACACGGCCCGAACUCCUACGGGAGGCAGCAGUGGGGAAUAUUGGACAAUGGGGGCAACCCUGAUCCAGCAAUACCGCGUGUGUGAAGAAGGCCUGAGGGUUGUAAAGCACUUUCAAUUGUGAAGAAAAGUUAACGGUUAAUAAUCGUUAACCUUGACGUUAACUUUAGAAGAAGCACCGGCUAACUCCGUGCCAGCAGCCGCGGUAAUACGGAGGGUGCAAGCGUUAAUCGGAAUUACUGGGCGUAAAGCGUGCGUAGGCGGUUUAUUAAGUCAGAUGUGAAAGCCCCGGGCUUAACCUGGGAACUGCAUUUGAAACUGGUCAACUAGAGUAUGGUAGAGGAAAGUGGAAUUUCUGGUGUAGCGGUGAAAUGCGUAGAUAUCAGAAGGAACAUCAAUGGCGAAGGCAGCUUUCUGGACCAAUACUGACGCUGAGGUACGAAAGCGUGGGUAGCAAACAGG